RNAcentral lists this ribosomal RNA (468 nucleotides) under uncultured bacterium. RNAcentral describes it as "partial 16S ribosomal RNA". It matches the Rfam family "Bacterial small subunit ribosomal RNA", at positions 28 to 507 of the family's 1533-position model. The record is from RNAcentral.
GACGAACGCUGGCGGCGUGCUUAACACAUGCAAGUCGAACGUAAAGGCCCUGCUUUUGUGGGGUGCUCGAGUGUCGAACGGGUGAGUAACACGUGAGUAACCUGCCCUUGACUUUGGGAUAACUUCAGUACACUGGGUCUAAUACCGGAUAGGAGCUCCUGCUGCAUGGUUGGGGUUGGACAGUUUCGGCGGUUGGGGAUGGACUCGCGGCUUAUCAGCUUGUUGGUGGGGUAGUGGCUUACCAAGGCUUUGACGGGUAGCCGGCCUGAGAGGGUGACCGGCCACAUUGGGACUGAGAUACGGCCCAGACUCCUACGGGAGGCAGAAGUGGGGAAUAUUGCACAAUGGGCGGAAGCCUGAUGCAGCAGCGCCGCGUGCGGGAUGACGGCCUUAGGGUUGUAAACCGCUUUCGCAUGUGACGAAGAGUGAGUGACGGUAAUGGGUAAAGAAGAACCGGCUAAAUACGUG